This 67-nucleotide transfer RNA is filed under the name Morellia simplex. Its description in RNAcentral is "tRNA-Cys". It matches the Rfam family "tRNA". Rfam says of the family: Transfer RNA (tRNA) molecules are approximately 80 nucleotides in length. Their secondary structure includes four short double-helical elements and three loops (D, anti-codon, and T loops). Further hydrogen bonds mediate the characteristic L-shaped molecular structure. tRNAs have two regions of fundamental functional importance: the anti-codon, which is responsible for specific mRNA codon recognition, and the 3' end, to which the tRNAs corresponding amino acid is attached (by aminoacyl-tRNA synthetases). tRNAs cope with the degeneracy of the genetic code in two manners: having more than one tRNA (with a specific anti-codon) for a particular amino acid; and 'wobble' base-pairing, i.e. permitting non-standard base-pairing at the 3rd anti-codon position. Lineage: Eukaryota; Metazoa; Arthropoda; Insecta; Diptera; Muscidae. The record is from RNAcentral.
AGCUUUAUAGUCAUUUAAUGGCAUUGGACUGCAAAUCUGAAAGAGUAAAUAAAAUUUACUAAGGCUU